Molecule: non-coding RNA, 134 nt
Organism: Xylariaceae sp. FL0594
Lineage: Eukaryota; Fungi; Ascomycota; Sordariomycetes; Xylariales; Xylariaceae
Source: the annotation of a GenBank genome assembly
GCCCGGUUAGCUCAAUCGGUAGAGCGUGAGACUCUUAAUCUCAAGGUUGCGGGUAAGCUAUUCUUCUUCAAGACGUAUUUGCAAAUUGGCAAUGCUAACAAACCUUGCGAUAGGUUCGACCCCCGCAUCGGGCU